This 1104-nucleotide ribosomal RNA is filed under the name human gut metagenome. RNAcentral describes it as "bacterial LSU rRNA". It matches the Rfam family "Bacterial large subunit ribosomal RNA", at positions 1326 to 2437 of the family's 2925-position model. The record is from RNAcentral.
AAACCCCCUCGCCGAAAGACUAAGGUUUCCUGAUCAACGCUAAUCGGAUCAGGGUCAGUCGGGUCCUAAGGCUCAGCCGAACGGCGAUGCCGAUGGCAGAAACGGUUAAUAUUCCGUUACUACCUUCAGGAGUGACGUGGAGACGCAGUAGUGACAGUGCCGCCAUCUGACGGAAUAGAUGGUUGAAGGGUGUAGGAGUCGAUCAUGGCAGGCAAAUCCACCAUGAGAUCCGAACCUGACAGUAUGCCGCGUCCUUCGGGACAAGGCAAUAGUGCGCGUAAGCAUGCUGCCGAGAAAAUCCGCUAAACUUAAUCCUGCAGGUACCCGUACCGCAAACGGACACACGUAGUCGGGAUGAAUAUUCUAAGGCGCUUGAGUGAUUCACGGUUAAGGAACUAGGCAAACUGACCCUGUAACUUCGGGAUAAAGGGUCCCUACCCUUUUAUGGGAGGGCGCAGAGAAUCGGUCCAGGCAACUGUUUAACAAAAACACAGGGCUGUGCCAAAUCGAAAGAUCCAGUAUACAGCCUGACACCUGCCCGGUGCUGGAAGGUUAAGAGGAGAUGUCAUCGAUAAGAGAAGCGUUGAAUUGAAGCCCCAGUAAACGGCGGCCGUAACUAUAACGGUCCUAAGGUAGCGAAAUUCCUUGUCGGGUAAGUUCCGACCUGCACGAAUGGUGUAAUGAUCUGGACGCUGUCUCAACCGUGAGCUCAGUGAAAUUGUAGUAUCGGUGAAGAUGCCGAUUACCCGCGAUGGGACGAAAAGACCCCGUGAACCUUUACUAUAGCUUAACAUUGAAUUUGGGUAAUUGAUGUGUAGGAUAGGCCGGAGACUUUGAAGCAGGUACGCCAGUAUUUGUGGAGUCGCUGUUGAAAUACGGCCCUUUGAUUAUUUGAGUUCUAACUCGUAGAUACGAGGACACUGUUUGGUGGGUAGUUUGACUGGGGUGGUCGCCUCCAAAAGUGUAACGGAGGCUUCUAAAGGUGCCCUCAGGACGAUUGGUAACCGUCCGUAGAGUGUAAUGGCAUAAGGGCGCUUGACUGGGAGACAGACAAGUCGAUCAGGUAGGAAACUAGAGCAUAGUGAUCCGGUGUUUCCGUAUGGA